RNAcentral lists this ribosomal RNA (468 nucleotides) under Triticum aestivum (bread wheat). Its description in RNAcentral is "partial small subunit ribosomal RNA". The record is from RNAcentral. Lineage: Eukaryota; Viridiplantae; Streptophyta; Magnoliopsida; Poales; Poaceae.
AUGUCUUCCGCAAGCUCCCGCGCCACCUCGCGGAUGCAGAGCCGGGCGCGUGUGGAGAUGCCUGUCUUCGUCUGUCCGCGGUGCCGGGCGAGCGUUGAUCGGAGGGUUUCACAACCGAGGAACCACAAUCGUCCGUUCUACGUGUGCAGCGAGAAUGGGGUGACAUGCUUCUUUCUUUGGGUCGAUGCUUUGGCCAAGACUCUGAUAAAUGAACUGCAAGAAGAGCAUGACGAAUGGUUGCGCAUGCUGCCCCAAACCGCAGUGGCCGCAGCACGAGCUCCGGAAGAAGAGAUGGAGGGCGAAGCACGCACUGACAGAGAGCUAGCUGUUGAGCUUAGGAUGUUGAAGAAGAAGGUUAGGAAGCUUGAAGAUCAAGCACUACCAAUACCCAUUUGAAAAUACUUUUGGGCAUUUGUAGGUAUGGUAAUCGCACUGGUUGUAAUGUCAAAAAUGUAUGGAAAGGCAUGA